GCCGGGAUAGCUCAGCUGGGAGAGCGACAGACUGAAGUUUGCGUAUAUUAUAUACUGUACUUUCUUCUGCAGGUCAGGUGUUCGAGCCACCUUCCUGGCA
Molecule: non-coding RNA, 100 nt
Organism: Abortiporus biennis
Lineage: Eukaryota; Fungi; Basidiomycota; Agaricomycetes; Polyporales; Podoscyphaceae
Source: the annotation of a GenBank genome assembly